This 904-nucleotide long non-coding RNA is filed under the name Athene cunicularia (burrowing owl). RNAcentral describes it as "lncRNA (ENSACUG00000009560.1)". The record is from RNAcentral. Lineage: Eukaryota; Metazoa; Chordata; Aves; Strigiformes; Strigidae.
GGGCGGGGAGAGGGCUCCGCGCCCCCGUGGUGGCUGGCUGCGGCCUAACAGCUAACGGUGCCCCCUCCCUUCUCCUUCCAGCCUUCAGGGCGUGCCGGUGGCUUACGACAACGUCAGAGUGGUGGGGGAGCUCGGGGACAUUUACGACGACCAAGGAUUCAUCCACCUGAACAUCGAGGCCGACUUCAUCAUCUUCAGCCCCAAGAAAGGGAAAAAACUGGUGGGUAUAAUUAAUAAAGUGGCCCCUAGUCACAUUGGCUGCCUGAUACAUGGAUGCUUCAAUGCUUCUAUCCCUAAACCUGAACAAAUGUCUAUUGUACAGUGGCAAGAGCUGGGGUUAAAAAUAGGGGAUGAAUUGAAAUUUCAAGUGUUGCACUUGGAUUCUGAUGCAGCUGGGGUGUUCUUUAUUCGAGGAGGACUCACCAAAAGCAGCAUGAAGCCCAAACAAUCUAAGACUGUCACUGGCAGUACAAAUGGAGAUGAAAUUCAAAAGCUUGACCACCAGGGAAAUGGCUUGAAUGACUCUGGGGGAGAUAAUGUCACAGAGGAGCCUCUAGGUGAGAUGGGUAACACUGGGACAGAAGAUGCAGAACAGCAAAGUGUUGAUGCUGUGGAUCGAUUAUAUGAUGAUAAAAACAAAAAGAAGAAGAAAAAGAAAAAGCAGAAGCAAGAAGAACAGGAACAUAUAUUGCCUACCAGUGACUCCAGUGGUUACCAAAGUGACCAUAAAAAGUCAAAGAAAAAGAAAAGAAAGCAUUGUGAUGAAGCUGAGGAAAGUGAAUUAUCUCAGCUGUCACAAGAACCCAAAGUUAAAAAGAAAAGGGACUAAAUUCUGAAGUGCCUUUCCUGAAUAAGAUUUCAGAUGUCUUUCAUGAGCUUUCAAUAAAAUCCUGUUUUGAAAAUG